GACGAACGCUGGCGGCGUGCCUAACACAUGCAAGUCGAGCGGAGAUGUACUGAAGAUUUAUCGGAUGUACAUCUUAGCGGCGGACGGGUGAGUAACGCGUGGGCAACCUGCCUUUUCACUGGGGGAUAACACAGGGAAACCUGUGCUAAUACCGCAUGACAUCACGUAGGGCAUCCUAUGUGAUCAAAGGAGAGAUCCGGGUGGAAGAUGGGCCCGCGUCCAAUUAGCUGGUUGGUGAGGUAAAGGCUCACCAAGGCGACGAUUGGUAGCCGAACUGAGAGGUUGAUCGGCCACAUUGGGACUGAGACACGGCCCAGACUCCUACGGGAGGCAGCAGUGGGGAAUAUUGCGCAAUGGGGGGAACCCUGACGCAGCAACGCCGCGUGAAGGAAGAAGGUCUUCGGAUUGUAAACUUCUUUGAUGAGGGACGAAUAAAGUGACGGUACUACGAAAACAAGCCACGGCUAACUACGUGCCAAGCCAAGCCGCGGUAAGGGUA
Molecule: ribosomal RNA, 499 nt
Filed under: uncultured bacterium
Lineage: Bacteria
Description: bacterial SSU rRNA
Rfam family: Bacterial small subunit ribosomal RNA
Source: RNAcentral